This 315-nucleotide ribosomal RNA is filed under the name Escherichia coli. RNAcentral describes it as "bacterial SSU rRNA". It matches the Rfam family "Bacterial small subunit ribosomal RNA", at positions 105 to 423 of the family's 1533-position model. The record is from RNAcentral. Lineage: Bacteria; Pseudomonadati; Pseudomonadota; Gammaproteobacteria; Enterobacterales; Enterobacteriaceae.
GGUGAGUAAUGUCUGGGAAACUGCCUGAUGGAGGGGGAUAACUACUGGAAACGGUAGCUAAUACCGCAUAACGUCGCAAGACCAAAGAGGGGGACCUUCGGGCCUCUUGCCAUCGGAUGUGCCCAGAUGGGAUUAGCUAGUAGGUGGGGUAACGGCUCACCUAGGCGACGAUCCCUAGCUGGUCUGAGAGGAUGACCAGCCACACUGGAACUGAGACACGGUCCAGACUCCUACGGGAGGCAGCAGUGGGGAAUAUUGCACAAUGGGCGCAAGCCUGAUGCAGCCAUGCCGCGUGUAUGAAGAAGGCCUUCGGGU